This 247-nucleotide ribosomal RNA is filed under the name uncultured bacterium. Its description in RNAcentral is "partial 16S ribosomal RNA". It matches the Rfam family "Bacterial small subunit ribosomal RNA", at positions 84 to 334 of the family's 1533-position model. The record is from RNAcentral.
AGGGUACUCGAGUGGCGAACGGGUGAGUAACACGUGGGUGAUCUGCCCUGCACUUUGGGAUAAGCUUGGGAAACUGGGUCUAAUACCGAAUAUGACCAUUGUUUAGUGUCGAUGGUGGAAAGCUUUUGCGGUGUGGGAUGAGCCUGCGGCCUAUCAGCUUGUUGGUGGGGUAAUGGCCUACCAAGGCGGCGACGGGUAUCCGGCCUGAGAGGGUGUACGGACACAUUGGGACUGAGAUACGGCCCAG